RNAcentral lists this ribosomal RNA (459 nucleotides) under uncultured bacterium. RNAcentral describes it as "partial 16S ribosomal RNA". It matches the Rfam family "Bacterial small subunit ribosomal RNA", at positions 338 to 795 of the family's 1533-position model. The record is from RNAcentral.
CCUACGGGUGGCAGCAGUGAGGAAUAUUGGUCAAUGGGCGCGAGCCUGAACCAGCCAAGUCGCGUGAGGGAAGAAGGUCCUAUGGAUCGUAAACCUCUUUUGUCGGGGAGCAAAGGCUGCCACGCGUGCCCUUCCGAGUGUACCUGAAGAAAAAGCAUCGGCUAACUCCGUGCCAUCAGCCGCGGUAAUACGGAGGAUGCGAGCGUUAUCCGGAUUUAUUGGGGUUAAAGGGUGCGCAGGCGGAAGGUUAAGUCAGCGGUAAAAGUGAGGGGCUCAACCCCUGCCAGCCGUUGAAACUGGUUUUCUUGAGUGGGUGAGAAGUAUGCGGAAUGCGUGGUGUAGCGGUGAAAUGCAUAGAUAUCGCGCAGAACUCCGAUUGCGAAGGCAGCAUGCCGGCGCUCAACUGACGCUCAGGCACGAAAGUGUGGGUAGCGAACAGGAUUAGAUACCCCUGUAGUC